AGGGAAUAUUGGGCAAUGGGCGCAAGCCUGACCCAGCAACGCCGCGUGAGGGAAGAAGGUUUUCGGAUUGUAAACCUCUGUCCUAUGUGACGAAGGAAGUGACGGUAGCAUAGGAGGAAGCCCCGGCUAACUACGUGACAGCAGCCGCGGUAAUACGUAGGGGGCGAGCGUUGUCCGGAAUUACUGGGCGUAAAGGGUGCGUAGGCGGUUUUGUAAGUUGGAUGUGAAAUACCCGGGCUUAACUUGGGGGCUGCAUCCAAUACUGCAGGACUUGAGUGCAGGAGAGGAAAGCGGAAUUCCUAGUGUAGCGGUGAAAUGCGUAGAUAUUAGGAGGAACACCGGUGGCGAAGGCGGCUUUCUGGACUGUAACUGACGCUGAGGCACGAAAGCGUGGGGAGCAAAC
RNAcentral lists this ribosomal RNA (403 nucleotides) under uncultured bacterium. RNAcentral describes it as "bacterial SSU rRNA". It matches the Rfam family "Bacterial small subunit ribosomal RNA", at positions 356 to 773 of the family's 1533-position model. The record is from RNAcentral.